RNAcentral lists this transfer RNA (65 nucleotides) under Graptodytes pictus. RNAcentral's name for it is "tRNA-Glu". Lineage: Eukaryota; Metazoa; Arthropoda; Insecta; Coleoptera; Dytiscidae. The record is from RNAcentral.
AUUUAUAUAGUUUAAUAUAAAACAUUAUAUUUUCAAUAUAAAAAUAAAAUCUAUUUUUAUAAAUA